This 884-nucleotide long non-coding RNA is filed under the name Marmota monax (woodchuck). Lineage: Eukaryota; Metazoa; Chordata; Mammalia; Rodentia; Sciuridae. The record is from RNAcentral.
CACAAAUUACAUUGGGAAGAAAAUUCUCCCAGCUUCCUUUGAAACCUUCCAGAGAAAGAGGUAAAAGCAUGGCUCUGCAGAAGGCUCCUAAGUGGUUCCCAGAGCUUGUGCUGAGCUGGGGACACAUGGCUCCAUCAUCUGUUUUCUACUGGAAAAAACAACAUUCCCAUUUGACGAUGGCAGAGCCAGGCACCCCUCACCCCCCAUCACUGCCUCUCCCCUCACUCACUGCCGCUUCUGUGUUCCCUUGGGAGUGGGGUGUCCAGCAUGUCCUGUUACAAAUAUCCAUGUUUUUUAGUUUGUUUGCUUUCAGAUGGGAUCUGGCAGUGUUGCCCAGGCUGGCCUGGAACCCCUGGGCUCCACAGAUUGCCUCCACCUCCUGAGUCACUGGGACUACAAGCAUGCACCACCACUCAGGUAUUGCUUUGUUUUCUAGAGCAUUCCAGUACAAUGACUGGGACCACGGGCCUCAGUCUGGGCUUAUGUCCCGGGGUGAGACGCAGCCAAGGUGGAGGAGCAGCCCUGUCUUUGCUCGAGCCCCACAUGGUGGUCUUCGGGUGACUGACCACUCUGCAAGACCAGCUGUGCAGUGCCUCUUCACCAGACACAUCAGUGAGGCAAGGACUCGCCUGCCUCCCCCUCUCCCUGCAGUCCACUAGGUUCAGAGACUGCUUUCUGGCUCCAGAACUGGGCCUGGGGUUCUGACACACGAUUUUACUUGUGUCACCUCUCUGGCUCCUUCCAGCUUGCCGUUUCAGCUCACAGGAGGUGUCCCCUCUUCCUGGCUGGCGUCCUUAGCAUGGUGCUGGUCACUGCUGGCUUCUGCUCUCAUUCCCAUUAGACCAUUCAGUGUGAGAGGCCAGUGGCGUGUCUGCAUGUUCAGU